Molecule: ribosomal RNA, 726 nt
Filed under: uncultured bacterium
Lineage: Bacteria
Description: bacterial SSU rRNA
Rfam family: Bacterial small subunit ribosomal RNA
Source: RNAcentral
AAGUCGAGCGAUGAAGUUUCCUUCGGGAAACGGAUUAGCGGCGGACGGGUGAGUAACACGUGGGCAACCUGCCUUAUAGAGGGGAAUAGCCUUCCGAAAGGAAGAUUAAUACCGCAUAACAUUAUCGAAUGGCAUCAUUUGAUAAUCAAAGGAGCAAUCCGCUAUAAGAUGGGCCCGCGUCGCAUUAGUUAGUUGGUGGGGUAAUGGCCUACCAAGACGACGAUGCGUAGCCGACCUGAGAGGGUGAUCGGCCACAUUGGGACUGAGACACGGCCCAGACUCCUACGGGAGGCAGCAGUGGGGAAUAUUGCACAAUGGGGGAAACCCUGAUGCAGCAACGCCGCGUGAGCGAUGAAGGUCUUCGGAUCGUAAAGCUCUGUCUUUAGGGAUGAUAAUGACAGUACCUAAGGAGGAAGCCACGGCUAACUACGUGCCAGCAGCCGCGGUAAUACGUAGGUGGCAAGCGUUAUCCGGAAUUAUUGGGCGUAAAGGGAGCGUAGGCGGAUAUUUAAGUGGGAUGUGAAAUACAUGAGCUCAACUCGUGUGCUGCAUUCCAAACUGGAUAUCUAGAGUGCAGGAGAGGAGAGUGGAAUUCCUAGUGUAGCGGUGAAAUGCGUAGAGAUUAGGAAGAACACCAGUGGCGAAGGCGACUCUCUGGACUGUAACUGACGCUGAGGCUCGAAAGCGUGGGGAGCGAACAGGAUUAGAUACCCUGGUAGUCCACGC